UACGUAGGGUGCGAGCGUUGUCCGGAAUUACUGGGCGUAAGGCGCACGUAGGCGGCUUUCUAAGUCGGGGGUGAAAUCCUGGAGCUCAACUCCAGAACUGCCUUCGAUACUGGAGAGCUCGAGUCCGGGAGAGGUGAGUGGAACUGCGAGUGUAGAGGUGAAAUUCGUAGAUAUUCGCAAGAACACCAGUGGCGAAGGCGGCUCACUGGCCCGGUACUGACGCUGAGGUGCGAAAGCGUGGGGAGCAAACAGG
Molecule: ribosomal RNA, 253 nt
Filed under: uncultured bacterium
Lineage: Bacteria
Description: partial 16S ribosomal RNA
Rfam family: Bacterial small subunit ribosomal RNA
Source: RNAcentral